This 90-nucleotide transfer RNA is filed under the name Candidatus Tanganyikabacteria bacterium. RNAcentral describes it as "tRNA-Ser". It matches the Rfam family "tRNA". From Rfam's summary of the family: Transfer RNA (tRNA) molecules are approximately 80 nucleotides in length. Their secondary structure includes four short double-helical elements and three loops (D, anti-codon, and T loops). The record is from RNAcentral. Lineage: Bacteria; Bacillati; Candidatus Sericytochromatia.
GGGGAGAUGCUGGAGUGGUUGAACAGGCGGUCCUGGAAAGACCGUAGGCCGUUUCACGCGGUCUCCGGGGUUCGAAUCCCCGUCUCCCCG